GAGAAUCUAACACAUACACAGAGGAGAUGGAGCAUAAAAUUGGGCGGACUGACUCAGAGGUUUGUUUUGAUUUUUAAAUCAUUUGUUAAAACUAAAAAUGAGUGUGCGUACGCGUGGAGAGGGGGAACAAGGCUUCUCUAAUCAGCAAAGGGGCUGUCGGCAGGCGAUGUACAAAUGAAAGCGCGCUUUCUAAAUUUCCAAAGCACUAAAGGGAGAGAAAUGCGCAAUUACUGUGGGAUUCGCCCAGAGGAGCAGCCUCAGGAGUUGAAGGGGAUCCUGUCCCUCCCAGAGGAAAGCUCACGAUUGGAUUGGAACUUCUAGCGACUGCCUGAGGCAAACGCACAUAAGGGUCCCCAGAUGCAGCGAAUGAACAGGUUUUCCUCGUAAAAAUGAUGGAGGUGAAGGUGGGGAUGGGGGUGCUCUCCUCACUCCGGAAUCUGAAGCGGGAGAGAGCUGGAUAAACCGCCGAGAUGACCUAAGUGGUCUGAGGCGACCAGCAGCGCGUCCACAGUGGAGGACCCAGGCCUCGGCUCAGAC
Molecule: long non-coding RNA, 537 nt
Filed under: Homo sapiens (human)
Lineage: Eukaryota; Metazoa; Chordata; Mammalia; Primates; Hominidae
Description: HSALNT0326480
Source: RNAcentral